Molecule: ribosomal RNA, 254 nt
Filed under: uncultured bacterium
Lineage: Bacteria
Description: partial 16S ribosomal RNA
Rfam family: Bacterial small subunit ribosomal RNA
Source: RNAcentral
UACGAAGGGGGCGAGCGUUGUUCGGAUUUACUGGGCGUAAAGGGCGCGUAGGCGGCCACCGCAAGUCGACUGUGAAAUCUCCGGGCUUAACCCGGAAAGGUCAGCCGAUACUGCGGGGCUAGAGUGCAGAAGGGGCAACUGGAAUUCUCGGUGUAGCGGUGAAAUGCGUAGAUAUCGAGAGGAACACCUGCGGCGAAGGCGGGUUGCUGGGCUGACACUGACGCUGAUGUGCGAAAGCUAGGGGAGCGAACGGG